AUGGCCGCCUACAAGCUAGUGCUGAUCCUGGAGAACCGUUUCAGCGGCUGGUACGACGCCGACCUGAGCCCGGUGGGCCACAAGGAGGCGAAGUACGGCGGAGAGGCAUUGCAAGAUGCUAUGAAUUUAACAUCUGCUUCACCUCCGUGCAGAAGAGAGCCAUCUGGACCCUCUGGACAGUCCUGGAUGCCAUUGACCAGAUGUGGCUGCCAGUAGUCAGGACUUGGCGCCUCAAUGAGCGACACUAGGGGGUCUGACUGGUCUCAAUAAAGCAGAAACUGCUGCUAAGCAUGGUGAGGCACAGGUAAGAUCUGGAGGCGAUCUUAUGAUGUCCCACCACCUCCAAUGGAGCCUGAUCAUCCCUUCUACAGCAACAUCAGCAAGGAUCGCAGGUACGCAGACCUUACUGAGGACCAGCUGCCCUCCUGCGAGAGCCUGAAGGACACUAUUGCCAGGGCACCGCCCUUCUGGAAUGAAGAAAUUGUCCCCCAGAUCAAGGAGGGGAAAAGAGUCCUGAUUGCAGCCCAUGGCAACAGCCUUCGGGGCAUCGUCAAGCAUCUGGAGGGUCUCAGAAGAGGCCAUCAUGGAGCUGAACCUGCCAACUGGCAUCCCCAUUGUCUAUGAAUUGGACAAGAACUUGAAGCCUGUCAAACCCAGUUCCUGGGAGAUGAAGAGACCAUGCGGAAAGCCAUGGAAGCUGUGGCCACUCGGGGAGGGUCAAGAAGGGCCGACUCCUACCCCAGUACCCUCCCCCAUGCCUGUUGAUGCCUCCGGCACCCUUCCCCAACACCCUUCCCCAACACCCUUCCCCAACACCCUUCCCCAACACCUGUCACACUGACUACAUCUGUAGGAUCUUAACUUUAGGUGGUAGCUGCAGACGAGAACCUGCAGCUCCCAUUUUCAUUUUAGUAUUUUAUCCCCUGCACCCACUCCCUUCAUAGAAUCUAGUCAGAAUAACACCUCUGGGGUGCAGGUUCCUGGCCCACAUCCAGGAACAGCUCCCCUUACCAGGAGAGUUGAGAGGUAGUAAUUACAGUUUUUCCUAGUCCUUUGUUUACUAAGGGUCU
Peromyscus maniculatus bairdii (prairie deer mouse) is the source of this 1070-nucleotide non-coding RNA. NCBI's taxonomy places the organism in Eukaryota, Metazoa, Chordata, Mammalia, Rodentia, Cricetidae. The record is from RefSeq and is a predicted model, not a curated record.